RNAcentral lists this ribosomal RNA (312 nucleotides) under Echinococcus granulosus. Its description in RNAcentral is "partial 12S ribosomal RNA". The record is from RNAcentral. Lineage: Eukaryota; Metazoa; Platyhelminthes; Cestoda; Cyclophyllidea; Taeniidae.
UUAAUGUAUUUUUAAAAUGUUGUCCUGGUUUUGUAACUAAAAUGGUUUGGCAGUGAGCGAUUCUUGUUAGGGGAAGAUGCAUAGUAAAGGAUGGUCCGCCUAUUAUUUCACUCUUGUUAUGUUGGUGUAUAUCUGGUUUGAUAUUAUCGUUUAAUGGUUUGAGUUUGUGUAGUUUUAGUUAAGCCAAGUCUAUGUGCUGCUUAUGGGAGUUUUUGUGUGUUACAUUAAUAAGGGUGUUGUUGUAAUAUGAUAUUAUUUAGGACUUAAUAGUAAUGUUUAAAUUAGUUUGUUGAUGUGAAAUGAGUUUAGCUC